Molecule: transfer RNA, 99 nt
Filed under: Streptomyces chryseus
Lineage: Bacteria; Bacillati; Actinomycetota; Actinomycetes; Kitasatosporales; Streptomycetaceae
Description: tRNA-Gln
Source: RNAcentral
CGCCGAACUGGGCGACCCGGCGCGGCCGACCGUCCUUCUGGUGCACGGCUACCCGGACAGCAAGGAGGUGUGGGCCGAGGUCGCGUCCCGGCUCGCCGC